Molecule: non-coding RNA, 99 nt
Organism: Paramarasmius palmivorus
Lineage: Eukaryota; Fungi; Basidiomycota; Agaricomycetes; Agaricales; Marasmiaceae
Source: the annotation of a GenBank genome assembly
GGUUCGAUGGUGUAGUUGGUUAUCACAUCUGUCUAACAUAUAAGGCCAAUAUAUCUUCCGUUGCACAGAAGGUCUCCAGUUCAAGUCUGGAUCGAACCA